UAAUCCGUUUUUUUCUUGUAA
This 21-nucleotide non-coding RNA is filed under the name Caenorhabditis elegans. The record is from RNAcentral. Lineage: Eukaryota; Metazoa; Nematoda; Chromadorea; Rhabditida; Rhabditidae.